GACUACUAGAGUUAAAGGGCCACUUCUAAAGGCAUAUUUGGCCAAGUUUGGUCCAAUUCGGAUCUAGCUCAUAAUCCUAGGCCCAAUACCUACUAACCUAACCCUAAAAUCCAAAAUAAAACCUAGACCCCUAGACCCUCUAGACUAACGCCUAAAAAUCUAAAAAAGCAUCUAACCUAAGACUAGAAAAUCAACCGCAUUAAUCAAAAAAGAACCCCCACCCCCAGCAAUCCUCUUCCUCUCCAUUUCAAAACCAGCGACAAACCUUACUAUCUCCCCUCCAUGGCUUGAGCUUAGCCAACAACCAGACCAAAACCAACGACCCAUGAGUACCAUCUUCUUCAACCUAGAGACCCCAUGAACUUCAUCUCCUUUACACCUAAAAACCUAAGACAACAACAACAGCCGCAACUGAUCACCCCAGCUCAUCUCCCAGCAGCUUCAAUACACAGACACACAUAGAUAUAGACAGACAUGGGAGGGAGAUAGGGGAACAACAAUAGAAAAAGGGAGGAGAAAUAGUGGAAAAAAAUAAAAAAUACAGCAACAGAAAAGGGAGGAGAAGGAACGCCGGGGGUGUUUGUUUGUCCAUCUCUGAGGUGUUUUUAAGUCUUGGAAGUACUCACAUUAAGGUCAGGUCGUUUUUUCAGUUUGAGUCAAUUCUCUGGUUUGAAAAAUGGAUUUCGUGUGAGAUUCGUUUGGAGCUAACGACCGUGAGGUGCCGCUCGAGGUUUAAGUUCGUGAUUCCUGUCCGAAUUUGCUGCUGUUUUCUCGGACAGAUUUCGUGGAUUGGGAGUUUGUAUCUAUUGAUUCUCAAAACCUUAAAGGAUAUUGGCUGAACAGAUAUUUGAAGCGGGGAUGGGUAUAUGGAAGAGCAAAAGGGAAAAAGUGGAGGUUAGAAAGAAGGAUUUCAUAGAACUGAAGAAGCUUGAAGGAGCUAUGGGUGACACGGAUUACUUGGGAGAAGACAACUUUGGGUACGUUGAUGUCAUAGCCAUUGCCAUGACAUCUUGGUUCCACACUUACGAGGUAUUCGGGGGUUUUAAGGUUGAAGAAGAGUACCCUAAAUUUGCCUGCUGGAUAAAGAGAUGCCUUAAAAGGGAGAGUGUUUCCAGUGUUCUUCCAGAUCCUGAAAAGGUUUACUAGUGUGUUGUCAUGCUCAGGAAGAUACAUGGCAUUGAAUAGGGUGGCUUGCAAUGUUGGUGGUUUCUGUGGAUUCAACUAAACACGUAGUUUUAAGUCACACUUUGUUUACAUAUAAUAAAAUCAGACUUAUUUUGAAUCUAUU
Nicotiana tabacum (common tobacco) is the source of this 1288-nucleotide long non-coding RNA. RefSeq lists it as uncharacterized. Lineage: Eukaryota; Viridiplantae; Streptophyta; Magnoliopsida; Solanales; Solanaceae. The record is from RefSeq and is a predicted model, not a curated record.